AUUGAACGCUGGCGGCAGGCCUAACACAUGCGAGUCGAGCGGAUGAAGGGAGCUUGCUCCUGGAUUCAGCGGCGGACGGGUGAGUAAUGCCUAGGAAUCUGCCUGGUAGUGGGGGAUAACGUCCGGAAACGGGCGCUAAUACCGCAUACGUCCUGAGGCAGAAAGUGGGGGAUCUUCGGACCUCACGCUAUCAGAUGAGCCUAGGUCGGAUUAGCUAGUUGGUGGGGUAAAGGCCUACCAAGGCGACGAUCCGUAACUGGUCUGAGAGGAUGAUCAGUCACACUGGAACUGAGACACGGUCCAGACUCCUAAGGGAGGCAGCAGUGGGGAAUAUUGGACAAUGGGCGAAAGCCUGAUCCAGCCAUGCCGCGUGUGUGAAGAAGGUCUUCGGAUUGUAAAGCACUUUAAGUUGGGAGGAAGGGCAGUAAGUUAAUACCUUGCUGUUUUGACGUUACCAACAGAAUAAGCACCGGCUAACUUCGUG
RNAcentral lists this ribosomal RNA (484 nucleotides) under uncultured bacterium. RNAcentral describes it as "partial 16S ribosomal RNA". It matches the Rfam family "Bacterial small subunit ribosomal RNA", at positions 30 to 507 of the family's 1533-position model. The record is from RNAcentral.